RNAcentral lists this transfer RNA (77 nucleotides) under Flavobacterium sp. RNAcentral's name for it is "tRNA-Pro". It matches the Rfam family "tRNA". Rfam says of the family: Transfer RNA (tRNA) molecules are approximately 80 nucleotides in length. Their secondary structure includes four short double-helical elements and three loops (D, anti-codon, and T loops). The record is from RNAcentral. Lineage: Bacteria; Pseudomonadati; Bacteroidota; Flavobacteriia; Flavobacteriales; Flavobacteriaceae. RNAcentral also lists the same sequence under 12 other names.
CGGGGCGUAGCGCAGCCUGGUAGCGCACUUGACUGGGGGUCAAGUGGUCGCAAGUUCAAAUCUUGCCGUCCCGACCA